Non-coding RNA from Nipponia nippon (crested ibis), 5430 nucleotides. Lineage: Eukaryota; Metazoa; Chordata; Aves; Pelecaniformes; Threskiornithidae. The record is from RefSeq and is a predicted model, not a curated record.
AUGGCUGUUUUUGGGGAGGCAGCUCCUUACCUCCGAAAGUCAGAAAAGGAGAGAAUUGAGGCCCAAAACAAGCCUUUUGAUGCCAAGACAUCUGUCUUUGUGGCUCAUCCUAUCCUUUCCUUUGUGAAAGGGACAAUCCAGAGCAGGGAAACAGGGAAGGUCACUGUCAAGACUGAAGCUGGGCAGACCCUGACCGUGAAAGAAGAUCAGGUCUUUUCCAUGAACCCUCCCAAGUAUGAUAAAAUCGAGGACAUGGCUAUGAUGACCCACCUCCACGGCUGCCGGGGUACAACCCGGAGGUGGGGUUGGCCUACCGAGGCAAGAAGGGCCAGGCGGGCCCUCCACACAUCUUCUCCAUCUCUGACAACGCCUAUCAGUUCAUGCUGACGGAUCGUGAGAACCAGUCCAUCCUGAUCACCGGAGAAUCCGGUGCAGGGAAGACUGUGAACACAAAGCGUGUCAUCCAGUACUUUGCAACAAUUGCAGCGAGUGGGGAGAAGAAGAAGGAAGAGCAGCAGUCAGGCAAAAUGCAGGGAACGCUUGAGGAUCAAAUCAUCAGCGCCAACCCACUGCUGGAGGCCUUUGGAAACGCCAAGACUGUGAGGAACGACAACUCCUCACGCUUUGGCAAAUUCAUCAGAAUCCACUUUGGGGCCACAGGCAAACUGGCUUCUGCUGACAUUGAAACCUAUCUGCUGGAGAAGUCCAGAGUCACUUUCCAGCUCAAGGCAGAAAGAAGUUACCACAUAUUUUAUCAGAUCACCUCCAACAAGAAGCCGGAGCUGAUUGAAAUGCUCCUCAUUACCACCAAUCCGUAUGACUACCCUUUUGUGAGUCAAGGUGAGAUCACUGUUCCCAGCAUUGAUGACAAGGAGGAGCUGAUGGCUACAGAUAGUGCCAUUGACAUCCUGGGCUUCACUGCUGAUGAAAAGACUGCCAUCUACAAGCUGACAGGGGCUGUCAUGCACUACGGGAACUUGAAGUUCAAGCAGAAACCAAGAGAGGAGCAGGCAGAGCCAGAAGGCACAGAAGUUGCUGACAAGGCUGCCUACCUGAUGGGUCUGAAUUCAGCUGACAUGCUCAAGGCACUGUGCUACCCUCGAGUCAAGGUUGGGAAUGAAUAUGUGACCAAGGGUCAAACUGCGCAGCAGGUGCACAAUGCUGUAGGUGCUCUUGCAAAGGCUGUCUAUGAGAGGAUGUUCUUGUGGAUGGUUGUCCGUAUCAACCAACAGCUGGAUACAAAGCAGCCUAGACAGUACUUCAUUGGUGUCCUGGACAUUGCUGGCUUCGAGAUCUUUGAUUUCAACAGCUUUGAGCAGCUGUGCAUCAACUUCACCAAUGAGAAACUGCAACAGUUCUUCAACCACCACAUGUUUGUGCUGGAGCAGGAGGAGUACAAGAAGGAAGGAAUUGAAUGGACAUUCAUUGACUUUGGGAUGGACCUGGCUGCCUGCAUUGAGCUGAUUGAAAAGCCCAUGGGCAUCUUCUCCAUCCUGGAAGAGGAGUGCAUGUUCCCCAAGGCAACUGACACCUCUUUCAAGAACAAGCUCUAUGACCAGCAUCUGGGCAAGUCCAGCAACUUCCAGAAGCCCAAGCCUACCAAAGGGAAGGUUGAGGCCCACUUCUCCCUCAUACACUAUGCUGGCACAGUCGACUACAACAUCACUGGCUGGCUUGAGAAGAACAAGGACCCCCUGAACGAAACUGUCAUUGGGUUGUACCAGAAAUCAUCACUGAAAACAUUGGCCUUACUCUUUGCCAACUAUGGUGGAGCAGAAGCAGAGGCUAGUGCUGGCAAGAAAGGUAGCAAGAAGAAAGGUUCUUCCUUCCAGACUGUCUCAGCUCUUUUCCGGGAGAAUUUAAACAAGCUGAUGACCAAUCUGCGAAGCACCCACCCCCAUUUUGUACGCUGCAUCAUCCCAAAUGAAACAAAAACACCUGGUGCCAUGGAGCAUGAACUGGUUCUUCACCAGCUGCGGUGUAACGGCGUGCUGGAAGGGAUCAGAAUUUGCAGGAAAGGAUUUCCCAAUAGAGUCCUGUAUGCCGAUUUUAAACAGAGAUACAAAGUAUUAAAUGCAAGUGCUAUCCCAGAGGGACAGUUCAUUGACAGCAAGAAGGCUUGUGAGAAACUUCUUGGAUCAAUUGAUAUAGACCACACUCAAUACAAAUUUGGUCACACCAAGGUGUUCUUCAAAGCUGGGCUGGUAGGCCUUUUGGAAGAGAUGAGAGAUGAGAAGCUGGCACAGCUCAUCACUCGCACACAGGCCAGGUGCAGGGGCUUCCUGAUGAGAGUGGAGUACCAGAGAAUGGUGGAGAGGAGAGAGUCCAUUUACUGCAUCCAGUACAACAUUCGUGCAUUCAUGAAUGUCAAGCACUGGCCCUGGAUGAAGCUGUUCUUCAAGAUCAAGCCCUUGCUGAAGAGUGCAGAAUCUGAGAAGGAGAUGGCCAACAUGAAACAAGAGUUUGAGAAAACCAAGGAAGAGCUUGCAAAGUCUGAGGCAAAGAGGAAAGAGCUGGAGGAGAAAAUGGUGAAACUGGUGCAGGAGAAAAAUGAUUUGCAGCUCCAAGUGCAGGCUGAAGCUGAUGCUUUGGCUGAUGCUGAGGAAAGAUGUGACCAGCUCAUCAAAACCAAAAUCCAGCUGGAGGCCAAAGUUAAAGAGGUGACUGAAAGGGCUGAGGAUGAGGAGGAAAUUAAUGCUGAGCUGACAGCCAAGAAGAGGAAACUGGAGGAUGAAUGUUCAGAACUGAAGAAAGAUAUUGAUGACCUUGAGUUAACACUGGCCAAGGUUGAGAAGGAAAAACAUGCCACCGAAAACAAGGUGAAAAACCUCACAGAGGAGAUGGCAGCCCUGGAUGAGACCAUUGCCAAGCUGACAAAAGAGAAGAAAGCCCUCCAAGAGGCCCAUCAGCAGACACUGGAUGACCUGCAGGCAGAAGAGGACAAAGUCAAUACUCUGACCAAAGCCAAGACCAAGCUGGAGCAGCAAGUGGACGAUCUGGAAGGGUCCCUGGAGCAAGAGAAGAAACUGCGCAUGGACCUUGAGAGAGCUAAGAGGAAACUCGAAGGAGACCUGAAGCUGGCCCAUGACAGCAUAAUGGAUCUGGAAAAUGAUAAGCAGCAGCUGGAUGAGAAACUGAAGAAGAAAGACUUUGAAAUCAGCCAGAUCCAGAGCAAAAUCGAGGAUGAGCAAGCCCUGGGCAUGCAACUACAGAAGAAGAUCAAGGAGCUGCAGGCUCGCAUUGAGGAACUGGAGGAGGAAAUUGAGGCAGAGCGAACUUCUCGGGCAAAAGCAGAGAAGCAUCGGGCUGACCUCUCGCGGGAGCUAGAGGAGAUCAGCGAGCGCCUGGAAGAAGCAGGAGGGGCUACCGCAGCUCAGAUUGAGAUGAACAAGAAGCGUGAGGCAGAGUUUCAGAAGAUGCGUCGCGACCUCGAAGAGGCCACGCUGCAGCACGAAGCCACAGCUGCCACCCUGCGGAAGAAGCAUGCAGACAGCACAGCUGAGCUUGGGGAGCAGAUCGACAACCUGCAACGAGUGAAGCAGAAGCUGGAGAAGGAGAAGAGUGAGCUGAAGAUGGAGAUUGACGACUUGGCCAGUAACAUGGAGUCUGUCUCCAAAGCCAAGGCAAACCUGGAGAAGAUGUGCCGCACUCUGGAGGACCAACUAAGUGAAUUUAAAACAAAGGAGGAGCAGAAUCAGCGCAUGAUCAGCGAUCUCAGUGCUCAAAGAGCUCGUCUUCAGACAGAAUCUGGUGAAUAUGCACGCCAGGUGGAGGAAAAAGAUGCUCUGAUUUCUCAGCUGUCUAGAGGGAAACAGGCUUUCACCCAGCAGAUAGAAGAAUUGAAGCGGCAACUAGAGGAAGAGAUAAAGGCCAAGAAUGCUCUGGCCCAUGGCUUGCAGUCAGCACGCCACGACUGUGACUUGCUCCGGGAGCAAUAUGAGGAGGAGCAGGAAGCCAAGGGGGAGCUGCAGCGUGCCCUGUCCAAGGCCAACAGCGAAGUGGCCCAGUGGAGAACCAAAUAUGAGACAGACGCUAUUCAGCGCACGGAGGAGCUGGAGGAGGCCAAGAAGAAGCUGGCACAGCGCCUGCAGGAUGCAGAGGAACACGUUGAAGCCGUCAAUGCCAAAUGUGCCUCCCUGGAAAAGACCAAGCAGAGGCUGCAGAACGAAGUGGAGGACCUGAUGAUUGACGUGGAGCGAUCGAAUGCUGCAUGCGCAGCUCUGGAUAAGAAGCAGAGGAACUUUGACAAGAUCCUGGCAGAAUGGAAGCAGAAGUAUGAGGAAACACAGACUGAGCUGGAAGCUUCCCAGAAGGAGGCUCGCACUCUCAGCACGGAGCUGUUUACGAUGAAGAAUGCCUAUGAGGAGUCCUUGGACCACCUGGAAACGCUGAAGCGUGAGAACAAGAACUUGCAGCAGGAGAUUUCUGACCUCACGGAGCAGAUUGCUGAGGGAGGAAAGGCGAUUCAUGAGCUGGAGAAAGUCAAGAAGCAGAUUGAGCAGGAGAAAUCUGAAAUCCAGGCUGCCUUGGAGGAAGCUGAGGCCUCCCUAGAACACGAAGAGGGCAAGAUCCUGCGCCUCCAGCUUGAGCUCAACCAGGUGAAGUCUGAGAUUGACAGGAAGAUAGCAGAGAAAGAUGAGGAGAUCGACCAGAUGAAGAGAAACCACCUCAGAAUUGUGGAGUCCUUGCAGAGCAGCCUGGACGCUGAGAUCAGGAGCACGAAUGAAGCCCUGCGGCUGCAGGAAGCCCGCAAUGCUGAAGAGAAGGCCAAGAAGGCCAUCACAGAUGCAGCCAUGAUGGCAGAAGAGCUGAAGAAAGAGCAGGACACCAGCGCCCACCUGGAGAGGAUGAAGAAGAACCUGGACCAGACGGUGAAGGACCUGCAGCACCGUCUGGAUGAGGCUGAGCAGUUGGCACUGAAGGGAGGCAAGAAGCAAAUCCAGAAGCUGGAGGCCAGAGUGCGAGAGCUGGAAGGGGAGGUUGAUGCUGAGCAGAAGCGCAGCGCUGAAGCCGUGAAGGGUGUGCGCAAGUACGAGAGGAGGGUGAAGGAGCUGACCUACCAGUCUGAGGAAGACCGAAAGAAUAUUCUCAGGCUCCAGGAUCUGGUGGACAAGCUGCAAAUGAAGGUGAAAUCCUACAAGAGACAAUCUGAAGAGGCUGAGGAGCUGUCCAAUGUCAACCUCUCCAAGUUCCGCAAGAUCCAGCAUGAGCUGGAGGAAGCCGAGGAGCGGGCUGACAUUGCAGAGUCGCAGGUCAACAAGCUCCGAGUCAAAAGCCGGGAGUUUCAUAGGAAGAUAGAAGAGGAAGAGUGAGGAUGUCAUGAGGCAGCAAAGUGACCUGAGGGCUGCACAAAAUGUGAACCUCUCGGUCACUUUCUUCUGCAAUUAGUCUUUGUACCCAUAUCAAUGUCUAGACAAUAAAGACUGUAGA